UCCAAACCGCCCGAGUCCCCAUCAGAGCCCUCUCUCUCCAAGCCCAUCGCUGCUCCAUCUUGCUUUUCGCCUACUUCCCUGGCCUGCCACUUCACCUUCAGCACUCGCGAGGGUCCACACCACCUUCUUCGCCACCGGCUUCACCACCAGCAUGCUCUUCCGCUUGCUCCAAGACGUGCAGCUACACCGAAGUGCCGGUGUGAAUUGCUUCUUCCUACCAAGCCCGGCGACCCCAUUCAACCAGUUCAUGGCUUUUCGUCGAUCGCUGUCGCGUCUGUUUUUUUAUCGUGACUGUAAUAAUGCUUCAUACACAUGGAGCGCCCACUCUCCUUUCCGCUCUAUUCCCGGUUUACUGACCGAAAUUGUUUUCUGUUUCCAUGUACUGUGGGCAGGCUGAACGCCUGUUAUAGUCUUCCUCUGCUCCAUGGAGCAACCUGAAUUGUUUGCAGACGUUCAACUGUCUUAUGGCCUUCAGGUGACAUCUUGUUCUCCAUUUUUAUACCGUCAUUUUGGUUUGUUAGUCAACGCCAUUGUCUCUGAUUUUCUAUUGAUACUUGAUCUAUUUUAGGACCUUGAAGUGUAACUUUGCUCUUCUUUCAAAGUAUUGCUUGCAUUCAUGAAAUUAACGUUGUAAACAGAGCCCUGAGUUCUCUGCCCUCCACAUGUUUCGCAUAAUGUUCUCUUGAUUGUUGUACUUAAAUUAUGACUACGUCCCUUUUCAAUAAAGGAAUUUCUUACAAGACCUUUUGACACAAUAUACUUUGGAUAUGUUCACGGAUCAUGAUUCUGUCCAUACUAAUGUGUAUUUAGUUAUUUCUGUCCCCAAGUGAUUUCUUUUUGGCAACGAAAUAAACAGAGGCAUUAUAGAAGUGCUUAACUUUUGAGCCGUAUUAUAAUAUUCUGUGCUCAAUUUGGUGACCACUAUAUUUGUACAAACAUUAUUUGCUGAUGAUAGCCUCGUGACAGAUAGCCUGAGCAUUAAAGUAUGGAAAUUAUUGGAUCUUUCCAGCCUUAAAAGAUUAUCAGAAUUGCAUUCAUUUAACACAAAAUUUUGGUCACAUUUCAUAUUCUCCGAUAGUGCAUAUAAAGAACUUUCCUUCAUGGCCUUUUUCCUGGUAGAGGUAGUCCAUGAUCCUCACUUGGGUUUGUUAUUGACGGAUUGUUUGAUGAAGUUAACUUGUAGAUAAAUGGUUUUCCAUAUGCUUUUCAUUGGCUUUGUCCUUUCAGAAAGGGAGGGCGUGAGUGUGGGUGCCUCCCAGUUUUCGCAGGGGCAGGUUAUGAAAAAGUCUGUGGCCAUUAUCUAUGCUGUUGCGUGCAUGCUAUUCUACAUAAAAUGGCUCAAGUAAAAUACGUCUCCAGCCAUGUUCUGUGCUAUUCUACAUGCAACCAUGGUAAUUUUGAGAUCAUGCUCUGGUACUUUCUGGGUUAAAGUAUUAUAUGUAAAGCUUGGUACUUGCAGUGUGUACAAGAAUAAUGUCAAGCGGAGUGAGCCUCCUGAGGGGUUUUGUAAAAGGAAAGCUACAAUAAUAGUAGAGAGCCCUAACGGAUUGAGCCUCUGGUUGCUCAAAGCUAUUUGAUAUGGAAUAAAAAAGUGGUCCAUUUUUCAAGCUUCUUUAACGAUAAUUUUGGCUUUCUAUAAAUGGGGCAUUCAAGUAUCUUAUAUAGCUUAAAUUCGCUCUAUCUCAGUGCUUGAUCUUUUCUGCAGCUAAAUCCAAAAGUACAAGUUUGAUUUUCUUCUUUACCUAUUAGCGUAAGUUGCUUUUGCUUGUUAGGGAGUCCAAGUAACGCGACUUACAGUUUUCAACUUCUGUUGGACAAAACCAUGGGUUUAAGACACUCGCUAAUUUUUCACAUCCAUAGUCAAUAGUUUUCUCUUUUGCUUUAUGUGCUUGCUAUUAUUUCGUGAACUGCUAUGCCAUUACUUACCCUUGCUUUUUGCUAAAGAAACUACUACUACCACAACCAUGUAACGAUGAUAUAAGGUUAAGGAAAUCACUGAUCUUACAGUUGAUUUAUUCAUUGGUUUUGCCUAGGCCUCAUUGCUUUUUCAUGGUUCGUUGGUGUUCGGUCAUACCAUAUUAUCUUUCACUUUCACGCCAUUUGAUUGAUCAUACCAUAUUAUCUUUCACUUUUGCAUAGGCCUCAUUGCUUUUUUUAGUAUGACUCCAUGAGUGGAAUUCGGGAUGGUUUAAAGCUUAUCUCCAAUUUGGAUUUUUUUUUUUGGGUAUCGGUCUUAUCCAACCAUUGAGGAUGGGUCCGAUGAUGGCCCUUUGAUCCCAGCAAUACAAUGUUUUACACUAGGUAUGCUGAUUAUACAAUAUAAAUUAAAAAAACUGCUCCAAAGUGUGAUAUGUUGAUAAGAGAUUUUUAACUUUUAGUUCGUGGAGCUGCUUAUAAAUUGGUUAUUAUCCUAAAUAGUUUUGGUUAGUUCUCUUUUUACCUAAUUAAUUGAACCUGAUCUUUUUUAUAAGGCAGAAAGAAAUAUAAUGACAUCAGCUUUGUUGCCUUUUUUCAUGGCCUAUGUUCAAUACUUUUGUUGUUGUUGGUCAGCUUAUAAAAAAUGGUUGUGGCUUUUAUGUUUCAAUGGAGAUUGUUCAUUAUUUUUAUGGAUGUAUUGGCUUAAAAAUGAACUAUUAUUCUUGGCCUUUAGCUCUAGAUACAAUAAUAUAAAUGAGACUGUGAUGUAAAAAGUAGAGAAUUAAUUCAUACGUGAGGCAGCAAUACCAAUUUUGGAAGGUUAUGAAACAGCUUGAAUAAUUUAUGUAGGGGGGGGGGGGGAUUGGGGGAGAGGCCAUGACCUGUUUCUUCCAACCUUUUUUGGGAUUACAAGAAGAGAGGAUCAUAAACGAAGUCUUUGAAUUGCACCGGCAGAGCAAGAUAUAACAAUGUUAAGUUUAGGACUCA
Non-coding RNA from Punica granatum (pomegranate), 2904 nucleotides. The record is from RefSeq and is a predicted model, not a curated record. Lineage: Eukaryota; Viridiplantae; Streptophyta; Magnoliopsida; Myrtales; Lythraceae.